UUGAAUCAGGCCUAAGUUACGCAGGGAAGGUUGGUUUUUUUGUUUUGCUUUGUUUUUGUUUGUUUGUUUUGAGAUGGAGUCUUGCUCUCUCACCUAGGCUGGAAUGCAAUGGCGCGAUCUUGGCUCACUGCAACCUCUGCCUCCUGGGUUCAAGAGAUUCUCCUGCUUCAGCCUCCCGAGUAGUUGGGACUACAGGACUGAAGAUCCACAUAUUCUCCCAUUACUAGUAUUUGACAUUCACCUGAAAUUGGCAAAGGCACCAUGACUAUGCCACAUUAUUCUUCCAAAUGGAAUUAUCAUAGUUUUGGAUAAGUGAUAUGACUCAGACAGCCACAGCUCGGUUUUCCCUUGGGUCCUCGAGAAAGCAGUUGUAUCUCUCCACCUCACGGCCACAGACCACUCGGAGAUCAAGGCUUCUGCAUGCCCCCCUGUCUUGAAUGGAGGAGAAGAGAAGGUGUAAGUCUGAGUAUGUAAAUCCUACCUGGUAGACAGCCUGUGUUGUUUGUUCUUGGUAAGAGGAGACUCAAUUAAGAGUUAACCUCUAACCCCAGAGCCCUAAAGGCUUAGAACGAGACUCUGCAAGGUGUUCCUGGAGAGAUUAUUGAAGGUUAUAGAAGGAAGCUAAAAUGAAUCUUAGUGAAAACCACAGGACUGUGGUGUUUUUUUUUAUUUCAAAGGAUGAAAUGGAGGCCCUGCACCAAAAGGGAGGGAAGGUAUGU
Long non-coding RNA from Pan troglodytes (chimpanzee), 719 nucleotides. RefSeq lists it as uncharacterized. Lineage: Eukaryota; Metazoa; Chordata; Mammalia; Primates; Hominidae. The transcript has 3 exons. The record is from RefSeq and is a predicted model, not a curated record.